Molecule: long non-coding RNA, 1118 nt
Organism: Patella vulgata (common limpet)
Lineage: Eukaryota; Metazoa; Mollusca; Gastropoda; Patellidae
Exons: 3
Source: RefSeq, a predicted model, not a curated record
UAUGUCAACAUAGCAGAAGCGUACGACGUCCUGGAAUUUCAAGAACUUGACGGUGUAAUAGAUCUUUUCUUUGCUAAAGAUUUGUUUGAGACAUCUCAACCUGUCGUUCCAGUAGCAUCCAUUCAAACUAAUCCAGUUAAAUUUAAUGGGAAAGUUCAAGUAGUGGUUAUAUGAAAAAUGAUCUGAUGUUCACAUGAUCUCAAGGGUUUGCCGAACCUCAAUCGAGUUUAACCCCAACAAGGAAUAUUAUACAUCAAAACUUGUCAUCUGCCUGUGCAAUUUCUAGUAUAAGUUUAUCAUCAUUUGGAACAAAUGGUUAAAUUACUAUUCAAGAUGACUAAUUUAAAAAACAAGAACAACAAUAUGUGGUUGGAAUGAUCCAAGGCUCUGUUCAAAGAUAUUUUAUUCACAUGACAGUGAUGCUUGUUAAAUAAAACUUGUGAAUUUAACAGAUAAUGACCAUUGAUAAACACUAAAGGCAAAUAGAAAUGCACAAAAAAAUCCAUAAGCUUAUGAUAAUAAUGAUUAAACAUACAUUAUGCAAGAGCUAAAUCUGCCUAUUGCAGGUUUUCUUUAGGCCUGAAAUGUUUUCUAAAUUAUUAAUUAGACAUUAAUUAACUUAUCCAGGCCCUAAUCAACUCUCGAUAGCAUCGGAUUUCUCCAAUAUUAAACAGAUUAGAACAGUUCAGCCAUAUUUUGAUUUAAGCUAAAAAUGGAGGAGUGAGACUACUUCGAACAACCAGUACGAUGGUUGAAAUUAUUGCACACGUCUUGUCAAACCUUCAAAGGCCUUCAAAGGCUAAUAUCUUCGCUCGCAAUAGAGUAAUUUGAAUGAAAUUUUCAAAUUAUUCAUUUUACAUUAUUUAUCUUCGAACUAUUAUAGCAAGAAUGGCUAGCUCUUUAUCAAAAUCUUACAUAAUGUAUAUUUAAGAAUAAUUUAAUACAUUUAUAAAGCUCACACAUUACAAGUUGUGCACCUGUAUAAAAUUUGUAUAAAUUUUGUUAUCAUUGUUAAUAUUUUAUACUGAGAUGCAAUAAAAAUAAUACAUCACUUUUAUAAAUGGAUGAAUGUAAAUCUUGUUUGAAAUGAAUCCAGGUUUAACGCCCUACUUAGUACU